This 212-nucleotide unclassified non-coding RNA is filed under the name plant metagenome. RNAcentral's name for it is "partial contains small subunit ribosomal RNA, internal transcribed spacer 1, and 5.8S ribosomal RNA". The record is from RNAcentral.
UCUCCGUUGGUGAACCAGCGGAGGGAUCAUUACCGAGUUUACAACUCCCAAACCCCUGUGAACAUACCUUAAUGUUGCCUCGGCGGAUCAGCCCGCGCCCCGUAAAACGGGACGGCCCGCCAGAGGACCCAAACUCUAACGUUUCUUAUUGUAACUUCUGAGUAAAACAAACAAAUAAAUCAAAACUUUCAACAACGGAUCUCUUGGUUCUG